CUCACAUUUGUAAGGCAGGUUCUUUUGUAUCAACAGAAAUAGAUCUUAGUAAUAUCCCCAUCUGGUCCAGUCAGGAAGAAGCCCCCACUGCUGCUUGCUCCAGUCAACUAAAAUAAAAAAUGAGCUUGAUGAUUUGCCAGGGAUGAACUCGAUCCUAUUGGUCUUCAGCUGCAGCCUAAGAGUUAAGAAAUGCACCCACUAAGUGCUGGGCAGGUUUGCUCAGGCAACUCUAGCUUCCAAGGGAAGGUCAAGCAGAGAGGCCUGCAGUGCCUGCUGGAGCUCUAAUGGGUGAAAGAAGACCAGCUGUGUUACAGCUACAAAGCUGGAUCUGAAAGUACCCCCGUGCUUCUCCCCGAGAACUCACUCCUUGAGCCUUUCAGCUUGCAGAUGUAGUGAUAGUAUGCUCAGGUUGGCUUCUCCACGGAAGAGGCUGAGUUCAAAGUCCAGUCUGAAACAUACUCAGCUGUCUGUAGCUGACCCUCAAUAAAAUCAACCUGCCCAGAACUCUGUGGUCUUUGGACUGGUCAUGUCUCAAGAACAUUUCACCUCAUUCAUCACCAGAGCAGAUAUUGUGGAUCAAGGAUUCAACAACUAUUCCCCACCAACAACCUCUUUAGAGAAUUUUCUCUAUAUGGACCCUACAUUUUGAAAAAUAUGGCCAUCAAAUCAAUUUCAAGAAAGAUAGUUUUACAAUUUUUAUUGACCAAAGGAUAAGGGGUCAAUACAUAAAAGUACAUAAGAUCAACCAGAGAUGCCAAUGCUACACUGACCUAAACUACAGAACCCUGAUAUUUUAGUCAGCUAAUCAGCGCUAAUGGAAACAAAGGCAUAAUUUCCACCGGGCUUUUUAUGACCCUUAGCACAGCUCCAGAACUCCAUCACUAGUUUCAAGAAGCUCACUGACAUCUAUGGCUCACUUAUCUGGAUUUUUAUUCCCCAGGGAGGCUAAAACCAAAUCUGGGGCAGAAAAGUUAAAGUAAAAAUUUCCCUUUACUUACUUCUUCCCAAUGUUGGACUUUUAAAGUCAUGAAACCCAGUUGUUCCUUUACUUCUUGGUGUAUUUCAGCUUCAUCCUAUGAAGCCAGCUCCAUGGGGCCUGGAAAAAAAUUAUGUACCUUGGAUAGUACAUCAUCAAAAGAGUUAAGUUACUCUGGGGUGGGGAGAGGGAGGGAUGAUUAGAGCAUUAUCAAGAGUCCUAUCAGCUCAGCAUCUUUUUCUUCUGGUGCAUGUGAUUGCCCUCAGAAAGAUACCCCAGCAUCAUAACUUCCAUGCACAGAGAUACACUCUGAGAAUAAAAACCAAAACAAGAAUGAGAGGUCAAACUGUCAAGCUGCUUUGAACCACAUAAAAGCAAAUUGAAUAAAUGCAGCUCAGAAGGUACACAUGAAUAACCAUUAGGGCUGUUCAUGUCUGCCUCUCUCUGACAACUCACACCUCUGUCAUGAUCCUUCUUUAUCUGUAGAAUUGUUCAACCCAGUUGACUUGUAAAAUUAAUUCACAGAAAAUCCAAUCAUUAUGCCCUCAUUUUAUAAUCAACUUACUAUUAGCAUGAAAGAGUGUCAUAAAUUAGGGGAAUAAUUCUACUAGACGUCCUUUUAACUCAAAGAAAGUGACCAAACACAUAUUUAUAUAUUCAGCAAACAAUAAUCAGAGAAGCUUGAAAAACAGUGUUUUUCUCCCUCAUUACACAGGUAGCUGAAAUGCCAUUUUUAAAAAAUGACUUGAACCUAAGUAAACAAUCUCCAGCAGUAUAAUUAAUCACAAAGAAGUAUAUAUGAAUUGACAGGAUUUUUGCUAGACUCAAAAGUAAUAAUAAUAUUCCUAGUAAGCUGAGGGCUCGUGAUUACUUUCUCUUGUCCCUAGCCUACAAAGGAAAUUAAGCAGUUCAUUCUUUUGUGAAAUUUUUAAUACUAGAAAAGACUGAAUGUCAUAGAAAAAAAUGUUGACUGUAAUAACACAGUGGCCUGGUGACAGUAAUCUAUGCAGUUUGAUUAUGUUAUAGUCAUGGCUGUAAAUUUUUAUGGGUCCACAG
This 2032-nucleotide long non-coding RNA is filed under the name Homo sapiens (human). Its description in RNAcentral is "HSALNT0079662". The record is from RNAcentral. Lineage: Eukaryota; Metazoa; Chordata; Mammalia; Primates; Hominidae.